Molecule: transfer RNA, 74 nt
Filed under: Glossotermes oculatus
Lineage: Eukaryota; Metazoa; Arthropoda; Insecta; Blattodea; Rhinotermitidae
Description: tRNA-Ser
Source: RNAcentral
AGUUAAGAAGCAAACUGAUUAAGGCCCGGUAUCUUGAAAAUACUGAGAAAGAAGUUAAAAUCUUCUAUUAACUU